GACCUCGGAUCAGGUAGGGAUACCCGCUGAACUUAAGCAUAUCAAUAAGCGGAGGAAAAGAAACCAACAGGGAUUGCCUCAGUAACGGCGAGUGAAGCGGCAACAGCUCAAAUUUGAAAUCUGGCCUUCGGGUCCGAGUUGUAAUUUGCAGAGGAUGCUUCGAGCAUGGUCUAGUCUAAGUUCCUUGGAAUAGGACGUCAUAGAGGGUGAGAAUCCCGUAUGCGACUGGGUGCCUAAGCUCAUGUGAAGCUCCUUCGACGAGUCGAGUUGUUUGAGAAUGCAGCUCAAAAUGGGUGGUAAAUUUCAUCUAAAGCUAAAUAUUGGCCAGAGACCGAUAGCGCACAAGUAGAGUGAUCGAAAGAUGAAAAGCACUUUGGAAAGAGAGUUAAAUAGCACGUGAAAUUGUUGAAAGGGAAGCGC
RNAcentral lists this ribosomal RNA (420 nucleotides) under uncultured fungus. RNAcentral's name for it is "eukaryotic LSU rRNA". It matches the Rfam family "Eukaryotic large subunit ribosomal RNA", at positions 1 to 422 of the family's 3401-position model. The record is from RNAcentral. Lineage: Eukaryota; Fungi.